This is a long non-coding RNA of Lagopus leucura (white-tailed ptarmigan), 492 nucleotides long. RefSeq lists it as uncharacterized. The transcript is spliced from 3 exons. The record is from RefSeq and is a predicted model, not a curated record. Lineage: Eukaryota; Metazoa; Chordata; Aves; Galliformes; Phasianidae.
ACCCGGAGCGGAGGGGACACACCACGGGGAGGCUGAGGCGGGUCAGCGCAGCCCGCUGCGGCUCCUCGAGGCUUCUCUCCCAACCCCGGCCUUACAGCCGACCGUCCUGGGGCAACCGACGAGGAAAAGAGGAUUUGCCUGAAGCGAGCCUGCUGCUAACAGCCUCCGUAGAGCACCAAACAGCAUCAUCCAUCACAGCUGUGAGCAGCAAGGCUUCACCUGGAGAAAUUAUAUCGAGCUCUGUCACAACAAAAAGCAGCACUUGGAUUACACAGAAAAGGGAAUGACUCAUCAGCAGUGGAAACUGUGUGCACUUUUGGAUUUCAGGUUCCAUACUAAAUUUCUUCUGGCACCAGAAUGAGAAGUGAGCAUAUGAAAUGUUACAACACUCUCUGAGAAGAGUUCCACUGAAAAAUAAGUGUUUACCACACACAUUUCUGGCUUACCAGAACAUUUGAAAAACAACAGACACCCCUACGCACUCCCUCACAA